AUGGUUCUAGGGGCUGGAUGUGCAUGGGGCACGGUGCUAGGGGUUAUUUAUGCACGGGGCAUGGUGCUGGGCUGCCUGUCCUUGGUCCCUGUGCUGUAUUCACACCCAAUUCCCGACGCAUCGGCCCCAUGGGAACCCCGGCAGCCCGGUUUGUGGGCAGCGAGGCCAUCCUCCUGGCAGCCUGGCUCUGGCAGCCGGCGACCUGGGCCAGAGCUCCCCGCGGCGGUGCCAAAAUCCCCUUCGGCGGCUGCCAAAAUCGAUUCGGCACAAAGAGCUCGUAAAUUACAAAACCGCUCCGAGGCUCAGGGGCGCUGCGCUCCCGUCCCGGUGCGGCACCGUUACGGGGAGCCGGGGAACCCCCCGAGCCCCGAGGUGGCUCUGCAGAGGGGUGUGAGGAUAACGGGGCCGUGCCCUCCUACAGCACCAGGCGCCACGCAGGGGCCUCUCCGCAUCCUCUCCGCACAGCUGCGAGGUGCCACGGGGUGGCCGGAGCCCCUCGGGGACGUCCCCAACGUCCCCGGGGCUGCUUCUCGGGGCUGGCGACGGCGGCGGGGCUCUCCUUUCAGAGCCGCUCCCCAGCCGGCGGGGGAGAGCCCUUUGUGCCAGGCAGCCUUGAGAGAGGCCCGGGACAUAAUGACUGCUUUGCUCGGCCCCGCUUUUCCCAGCCUGAGCGCGGGGAACCUCCGCCGUGAGCUGAAUGGCAACGAGAAGCCCUCCUGCUCCGGCCCUCCCCCUCCGCCCUGCGCUUUUGUGCGCCCUCGACAUCCCCCCCCGGCAGCUCCCCGGCCAAAGCCCGCUCCCACACGUGCACAAGCGCACGUGCAAACACGCGUGUGCACCCAUGGGCAGGCACGCACACGUGCAGCGGGACACGCAGACGUGUGGGCACGCCGAAAAUCCCCCCUGGCACACGUGUGCACGCGCACUCGCUGCCCACGCCGGGGCUCAGCGACUCGUUCCUUCAUCCCUGCUCGACACCAGUUCUUAAAACCCUGCCUGAGGUUUCUAACAGCGGUGCCUCCGGCUCUGGCAUCGCCUCCUGCCCGGCUGCGCUCAGAUUUUCCGUGCCACCAAGGCCAGGCUGGGCUCUGCCGUCCCCAGAGGACCCGGGGGUCUGCGGGCCGAGGGCACAGGAUGGCCUCAGCCCUCCCGCUGCUGCUGCUGCUGCUCUGCGCCUUUACCCCCGCGGUGGUCCCGGAGGUGCUUGGCCCCGGAGAUGGCACAGAUGACCUCAAGGCGCUGCAGGUCUCCAUCCCGCGGCACCCUGCCCUGGACGCCGUGCUGGCGGGGGACGUCACCAUCCCCUGCCUCAUCACCUACCUCGGGCCCCUGCCCACC
Molecule: long non-coding RNA, 1338 nt
Filed under: Anas platyrhynchos platyrhynchos (common mallard)
Lineage: Eukaryota; Metazoa; Chordata; Aves; Anseriformes; Anatidae
Description: lncRNA (ENSAPLG00000030170.1)
Source: RNAcentral